RNAcentral lists this long non-coding RNA (3078 nucleotides) under Daucus carota (carrot). RNAcentral's name for it is "long non-coding RNA (DCAR_LNC002770)". Lineage: Eukaryota; Viridiplantae; Streptophyta; Magnoliopsida; Apiales; Apiaceae. The record is from RNAcentral.
UUCUCUCGCGAUUGUUAACCCAAACUGUAGUUCUUUUAACAAAAAUCUACCACUGCUUUGGUAGCUGCUUAUACAAAAUUUCGACAUCAAGCUACAGGACACCCUGCUUUGAAAGCGAGAUGCAUUUGCAAAGAAAGAAAUAAUCACCAGGUUUUAUAUGUUAGUUGCGAUAUAUAUUGUUUGAUGUUGGCCUAUGUAUUUGUGGCUCUUUCAUUUCCAUGUGCUCUCCAGAGCUCUAUUCUUUUUUAACAGUUUGGCUAAUAAGUCUACAAUAUUUGUCUACAAGGAACAGAGAUCAAUAGAUAAAUUUAGAAUGCAUUGUUCAUUGCUUAUAAAUAGCAGCAUAGUUUUCACCAAGACAAAUCAUUUUUUGAUGUCCAUGUCCUUGAGACCUUUUUCGUUUGUGAAGUCGGUAACAGCUUGGUCAAAGGUGCUCCGAAUAUGCUGGCACAUGAGCAUCAGGUCCUGGCAUGAGUCUCUUAGCACCUCACUAGCUGGAUCGCCUGCAGAAAUGGAAAUAAAUAUCUUAAAGAAAAGAUUGAUAUGGCAUUAAGUAUCACGAAAAGAACAAAGAAGGUAAGUUCUACUUUCAUUUUUAGUUCGUGGGGUAAAUUUGUUUAGCCUUAGGGUAAUGAUUAACCUAAAACACAAUAGUAAACUAUGUUUACUACACAGUUAGGAAGGAAAAUGGGUUAGACGGGUUAUUAUUAUAAAAUUUAAGAACUGUUAGAAGCAAAUUUUCUGAUUCAGGAUCGAUAUAUCUUAUAUGAAUCACAGACUGAAUAAAAGAUAUCAUACUUAUUANGGUAACCCACUAGAAUUUAAAAUCAAGAUGCAUGAUCAUCUUCACAUAAUGUGGAGGGCCUUCAAGGCUUCAACAUAUAACAUGAUCAUCUCAAAUCCUUGCACAAUGAUAAUCCAACUCAACAGAAUAUGAGAUUAAUAAAAGAUGUUGUAGAUCAUAGCUGAAAGAGCUCCGGAAAUCAUGACUAUCAAAUAUCAAAUAACCUUAGAGAGGCCUUCAUGUACUUCAUUAAACCUACCUCUAUAAAGGGUGGCUUUCUGGUACAAGUCCCAUGAUUAGCACAACUAUGUUUCUUCUUUUCUGUACGAGCCUCUAUGGACACGCCUUCUCUUUGCUAGCCUCUUAAGGGCGCACAAAGAACACCUGUAUUUCUUGAUCCGGAUUUCCUAGUUUACUUGUUUGUCCUUCAUCAUAAAUAAAAGGCCAUUCAAAUUAUGACUAUAACAGUAAACUUUCUAAAAUCUCUCAAAGUUCUAACAGAAUAUUAUAAACUUUUCUGACAUAAAAUGAGUUUCUUACAAUCCGUAUUCCUUUAACACGCAACUCUUUGAUGGUUAAGAUAUCAAGUACGAGGACAAGUAGUGUAAUUUGCAUUUCAUCCUUUAACUGACUAUGUAAUAUAUUUGACAUUAACUUAUUUGAUACUUGACAGAGUUAUCAAGCACAGUAAAUUCAUCUGGUCACAGGUUAUGAAGGAGAUUUUAGAUCAAGGCAAUAAUGCGAAAGGAUUUGAAAAGUGAUGAAUUUUGAAUGAAUGUAGUUUAGUACUUGCCAUAAGUUAAGUGAACAAGGAAUAAGAUGCAGAUAAUGGAGGAGUCAACAACAGGUUAUAUGAAUUCAGAGUCGUGUUGUGAUGUUGCUAAUCAAGUGCACAUUUUGCUGACACUUCUUCAAGAUUAUAAAGGCAGAUCACUUCUCUUUCCGUGAUUUUGUCACUCAAAAAAGAUUUGAAAUCUUUGAAAUUCUGACGUAAUACAUUGAAUUUUUAGUUGCUUGGUUAUGCUGAGGACUGAGGUGAUCUCGGCAUUCUCCAACUUGCAGUGCUUUCAAAAAUUGUAGAAUUUGCUCCUGACAAGAUAUAAUAAUUAAAGUUAUUUGUAGAAAUUGCUAAUAAAUUUGUUUUCUCUCGCGAUUGUUAACCCAAACUGUAGUUCUUUUAACAAAAAUCUACCACUGCUUUGGUAGCUGCUUAUACAAAAUUUCGACAUCAAGCUACAGGACACCCUGCUUUGAAAGCGAGAUGCAUUUGCAAAGAAAGAAAUAAUCACCAGGUUUUAUAUGUUAGUUGCGAUAUAUAUUGUUUGAUGUUGGCCUAUGUAUUUGUGGCUCUUUCAUUUCCAUGUGCUCUCCAGAGCUCUAUUCUUUUUUAACAGUUUGGCUAAUAAGUCUACAAUAUUUGUCUACAAGGAACAGAGAUCAAUAGAUAAAUUUAGAAUGCAUUGUUCAUUGCUUAUAAAUAGCAGCAUAGUUUUCACCAAGACAAAUCAUUUUUUGAUGUCCAUGUCCUUGAGACCUUUUUCGUUUGUGAAGUCGGUAACAGCUUGGUCAAAGGUGCUCCGAAUAUGCUGGCACAUGAGCAUCAGGUCCUGGCAUGAGUCUCUUAGCACCUCACUAGCUGGAUCGCCUGCAGAAAUGGAAAUAAAUAUCUUAAAGAAAAGAUUGAUAUGGCAUUAAGUAUCACGAAAAGAACAAAGAAGGUAAGUUCUACUUUCAUUUUUAGUUCGUGGGGUAAAUUUGUUUAGCCUUAGGGUAAUGAUUAACCUAAAACACAAUAGUAAACUAUGUUUACUACACAGUUAGGAAGGAAAAUGGGUUAGACGGGUUAUUAUUAUAAAAUUUAAGAACUGUUAGAAGCAAAUUUUCUGAUUCAGGAUCGAUAUAUCUUAUAUGAAUCACAGACUGAAUAAAAGAUAUCAUACUUAUUAUAAAACAGACGCAGAAUACAAGUAAAACAAUAGAGUGACAACUAGAUGCAAGUAAAACAAUAGAGUGACAACUAGAUGAAAUCCUGUAGUCUGUCCAGGUAGUAUAAACACAAUAUAACACAAAACAACGAGAGUGUCAUAACUAAAUUUUAAUAUGGAAGUUAUUUUUAAAAAAAUGGGUGAAGGUCAUGACCUGAAUUCUAAAUGAAUUCAAUCAAGAGAACACACACAUCUGUGAUGUCGAAUCAGAUGUUAAUGAAGGACUUCAUAAUAUUAAAGAGAAACAAAAAGGGACUAGGAAGUACAAUUACAACCAAACAAGACCCGAUAGUACAGACUAAAAUAAAA